RNAcentral lists this ribosomal RNA (3162 nucleotides) under Triticum aestivum (bread wheat). Its description in RNAcentral is "partial small subunit ribosomal RNA". Lineage: Eukaryota; Viridiplantae; Streptophyta; Magnoliopsida; Poales; Poaceae. The record is from RNAcentral.
AUGGAUGGUGUGCGCUCAGCCAAACACGCCCCAAACGUUUCAGAGGGUUGCAAUGUUUUUCUUGUCCCUGGUCCUUGCCCUCUCUUUCGUCCUCCGUCGUCUCGCCCAUCCCCCUCUCGUCUCCACAGUCCCACACACAAUCAAGCGAGGGAGAAGAACCAAAUCCCCAACCACUCGCCCGCCACCAAGCACGCAGCCGGAGCAAACAGCUCAUGCACCAAGGCCAGUGCAAUAAUAAUCGUCCCGGGCCCACGUCAAGCGGGACCCACAGGACGACCCCUGCACUGCGUCCAAAUUCAAUUCUACUGCAACCAACGAACAAAACAGGACGGACAAAAGCGAAGAGAGAGGAGAGGAGAGAGAGCCCCCAGCCUACAAGCCACCGGCCACCACCAGAUGUGAGACGAACAGAGCCAAGCCGACGAGGGUAGUUUUAAAACUCUGCGCCGAGAGGAGAUUUGCGGACUGCGGAGGAAGACCAACUGGGUGAAAUUCUGCGUCGGCGCGGGGGCGGCCAAUGGGAGGGGCGGAGGCGGCCGUCGUGGAGGCCGCGUCGACCGCUGCGGCAGCGGAGGCCGCUGAGGGCGGAGAGGACGGGCGGAUGGAGGGGUGGCUCUACCUGAUCCGAUCCAACCGGCUAGGGCUGCAGACCUCGCGCAAGAGGUACUUCGUGCUCGAGGACUCCGCGCUCCGCUGCUUCAAGGCCGCCCCGGCGCCUUCCUCCUCCAGCUCCAAGCGCGAGGAUCCUGUUAGAAGUGCAGUAAUUGACUCUUGUAUACGUGUUACGGACAACGGGAGAGAAAGUGUUCAUAGAAGUGUUUUUUACAUAUUCACACUCUACAAUGCCUCUAACCACUAUGAUCAGCUGAAGUUGGGUGCUAGAAGCUCAGAAGAAGCAGCAAGAUGGAUCAGGUGCUUAAUGGAGUCUGCCUUAAAGUCCCCCAGAAAAGAUGAGCAUGUUGUUGCUUGUUCACAUAGAAGGUGGCAGGCUUUCAGACUAAGCCGCCGCAGUAACCGCAUGCACUCAAUAGAUUGGACAAUAUUGUCAUCUUCUCAUAAUGAUCCAAUGGCAUCUGAUGUUAUUGCACCUUCUGCAUGGACAAUAUUUGGCUGUACAAACGGAUUACGUUUGUUUACUGAGGCAAAGGAUGGUGGCUCACGUGGGAAGUAUUGGGAUGAUCAUCCAGCUAUAAUGGCAGUUGGUGUCGUUGAUGCAAAUUCUGAGGAUAUCUUCCAGACUUUAAUGUCUCUUGGUCAAUCAAGAUCCGAGUGGGACUUCUGUCUGCGGGAAGGAAGGGUGGUUGAGCAUCUAGAUGGACAUUCAGACAUAAUCCACAAGAAAUUAAGAGGGGACUGGCUACCAUGUUUUCAGGGGAAUGAGAAAGAGAGAUCUAUUACUUAGACGAUAUUGGAGGAGAGAAGACGAUGGAACUUAUGUUAUCCUGUACCACUCUGUUUUCCACAACAGAUGCAGUCCUGAGAAAGGCUACAUCCGUGCAUGUCUUAAAAGUGGAGGAUAUGUAAUAUCACCAGUUAGCCAAGGAAGACAAUCAGUUGUGAAGCAUAUGCUUGCUAUAGACUGGAAAUUCUGGAAGUCAUAUCUCCUUACCUCAUCCGCAAAAUACAUCACCAUACGUAUGCUAGGAAGAGUAGCAGCCCUACGAGAAUUAUUCCGAGCAAAAAAUGGAAACUGCGCUUGUAUGGAAUUCUCAUCGGGUGAGCUGAUGAGGGAUAUGGGACUGCCGCAGGGUGGAAACGAGCGGACAAAAAUAGAAAUGCAGUCAGCAAAUGAGUGUGAAAGACUUGAGGGUCCUGUAGAAGGACCACAGGGUGGUUCUAACCGGCACUUAAGCAGUACUGGUUCCCUUGUUCAACUUAAUGAUGCAACGGAUGAGUUCUUUGAUGUCCCAGAUGAAUCAGAAUAUGAUCAGAGAGAAGCCAUGUGGUCUUCUGAUGAGAGCACACAUGCUGCGGACCAACGACAUGCUAAAUUAUCCAGUGCUGCUGUCUUUGUACGGAAGUUGCAUGAUCUUGCAGUUCAAAAGAGAGGGUACGUUGAUUUACAGGGAGCUGCAGAUGCUGAUAAUGGACCAUGUUACUAUGGACAUACUCUCCCAAAAGAUUCUAGCUGUACAAUGCCUUCUAGUUGGUCAAUGACAGACCCGACAACAUUCUUAAUACGGGGAGAAUCCUAUUUGCUUGAUCGUCAAAAGAUCAAAGCAGAGAAUACACUGAUGCAAAUGGUUGGUGCUGACUGGAUAAAAUCUGAUAAGCGUGAGGAUGAUCUUGCUGGUCGUCCUGGCGGACUAGUCCAGAAAUAUGCAGCACAAGGAGGCAGCAAAUUUUUCUUCAUUGUAAAUAUACAGGUUCCUGGUUCUACCACGUACAGCUUAGCUUUGUAUUAUAUGAUGGAUACCCCAUUGGAAAAGGUUCCUCUACUUGAAAGAUUUGUAAAUGGAGAUGAUACAUUCAGAAACUCAAGGUUCAAACUCAUCCCUUAUAUCUCAAAGGGAUCUUGGAUUGUGAAGCAGAGUGUGGGCAAGAAAGCUUGUUUGGUUGGUCAAGCACUAGAAAUCAAUUAUUUCCGUGGAAGCAACUAUUUGGAGCUUGGAGUUGAUAUAGGCUCGUCAACAGUGGCACGAGGUGUGGUGAGCCUUGUGCUCGGGUACUUGAACAACCUGGUGAUUGAGAUGGCCUUCUUGGUACAGGGCAACACGCAAGAAGAGCUCCCGGAGUUCCUCCUAGGCACCUGCCGACUGAAUUAUCUCGACGCCUCCAAAGCUGUAUCGCUAGACGAAUGCUGACCUGACCUCUCAAGGUCAAGGAGGCCUCAAGUUGACCCCAAUUCUCUUUGGAAGCAUGAGUACAGCACAUCAAAGCCGAAAAGGCUCAAGCUACUCCCCGUGUCCACCCGCCAUACACUCAUUUGUCUGCCUUGCCGCCCACAAAAGUGUGGGGGGUUUGCCGCAGCAGUGUACAUUCAUUUCUCCUCCUGCUGCAAAUAGGAGGUGUUGCGGUGUAUUGAUUGAUUGAUUGAUGAUGGCAGUGUACUACUCGUAUGAUGCAAAUCCUUGCUCCCAUUCUUUGGCCGACAGCUCGUCAUUUCAUUCAUCAUGUAAAAAUUGAGACAAAAGGAAAGUGUAUUCUAACCCUGACCUCGUG